AGUGAACGCUGGCGGUAGGCCUAACACAUGCCAGUCGAACGGCAGCACAGUAAGAGCUUGCUCUUACGGGUGGCGAGUGGCGGACGGGUGAGGAAUACAUCGGAAUCUACUUUUUCGUGGGGGAUAACGUAGGGAAACUUACGCUAAUACCGCAUACGACCUACGGGUGAAAGCAGGGGAUCUUCGGACCUUGCGCGAUUGAAUGAGCCGAUGUCGGAUUAGCUAGUUGGCGGGGUAAAGGCCCACCAAGGCGACGAUCCGUAGCUGGUCUGAGAGGAUGAUCAGCCACACUGGAACUGAGACACGGUCCAGACUCCUACGGGAGGCAGCAGUGGGGAAUAUUGGACAAUGGGCGCAAGCCUGAUCCAGCCAUGCCGCGUGGGUGAAGAAGGCCUUCGGGUUGUAAAGCCCUUUUGUUGGGAAAGAAAAGCAGCAGGUUAAUACCCCGCUGUUCUGACGGUACCCAAAGAAUAAGCACCGGCUAACUUCGUG
Molecule: ribosomal RNA, 492 nt
Filed under: uncultured bacterium
Lineage: Bacteria
Description: partial 16S ribosomal RNA
Rfam family: Bacterial small subunit ribosomal RNA
Source: RNAcentral